RNAcentral lists this ribosomal RNA (253 nucleotides) under uncultured bacterium. Its description in RNAcentral is "partial 16S ribosomal RNA". It matches the Rfam family "Bacterial small subunit ribosomal RNA", at positions 524 to 776 of the family's 1533-position model. The record is from RNAcentral.
GACAGAGGGUGCAAACGUUGUUCGGAAUUACUGGGCGUAAAGCGUGUGUAGGCGGUCUCCUAAGUCGGGCGUGAAAGCCCCGGGCUCAACCUGGGAACCGCGCUUGAGACUGGCACGCUCGAGUUCGGGAGAGGAUGGUGGAAUUCCCAGUGUAGAGGUGAAAUUCGUAGAUAUUGGGAAGAACACCGAUGGCGAAGGCAGCCAUCUGGACCGACACUGACGCUGAGGCGCGAAAGCGUGGGGAGCAAACAGG